Molecule: non-coding RNA, 66 nt
Organism: Liolophura sinensis
Lineage: Eukaryota; Metazoa; Mollusca; Polyplacophora; Chitonida; Chitonidae
Source: the annotation of a RefSeq genome assembly
GAGAUUGUAGUGUAAUUUUGCACAAUUGAUUUUCAUUCAAUUAGUAUAUAUCUGUUAUCUUUCUUA